GUGGGGAAUAUUGGACAAUGGGCGCAAGCCUGAUCCAGCCAUGCCGCGUGAGUGAUGAAGGCCUUAGGGUUGUAAAGCUCUUUCGUCAGGGAAGAUAAUGACGGUACCUGAAGAAGAAGCCCCGGCUAACUUCGUGCCAGCAGCCGCGGUAAUACGAAGGGGGCUAGCGUUGCUCGGAAUCACUGGGCGUAAAGCGCACGUAGGCGACUUUCUAAGUCAGGGGUGAAAUCCUGGAGCUCAACUCCAGAACUGCCUUUGAUACUGGAGAGCUUGAGAUCGGGGGAGGUGAGUGGAACUGCGAGUGUAGAGGUGAAAUUCGUAGAUAUUCGCAAGAACACCAGUGGCGAAGGCGGCUCACUGGCCCGAUACUGACGCUGAGGUGCGAAAGCGUGGGGAGCAAACAGGAUUAGAUACCCUAGUAGUCC
RNAcentral lists this ribosomal RNA (425 nucleotides) under uncultured bacterium. Its description in RNAcentral is "partial 16S ribosomal RNA". It matches the Rfam family "Bacterial small subunit ribosomal RNA", at positions 354 to 796 of the family's 1533-position model. The record is from RNAcentral.